UACGAAGGGGGCUAGCGUUGCUCGGAAUCACUGGGCGUAAAGCGCACGUAGGCGGAUUCCUAAGUCGGUGGUGAAAUCCUGGAGCUCAACUCCAGAACUGCCUCCGAUACUGAGAGUCUUCGAGUCCGGGAGAGGUGAGUGGAACUGCGAGUGUAGAGGUGAAAUUCGUAGAUAUUCGCAAGAACACCAGUGGCGAAGGCGGCUCACUGGCCCGGUACUGACGCUGAGGUGCGAAAGCGUGGGGAGCAAGCAGG
Molecule: ribosomal RNA, 254 nt
Filed under: uncultured bacterium
Lineage: Bacteria
Description: partial 16S ribosomal RNA
Rfam family: Bacterial small subunit ribosomal RNA
Source: RNAcentral